RNAcentral lists this ribosomal RNA (458 nucleotides) under uncultured bacterium. RNAcentral describes it as "bacterial SSU rRNA". It matches the Rfam family "Bacterial small subunit ribosomal RNA", at positions 340 to 786 of the family's 1533-position model. The record is from RNAcentral.
UACGGGAGGCAGCAGUGGGGAAUAUUGCACAAUGGGCGAAAGCCUGAUGCAGCUAUGCCGCGUGUAUGAAGAAGGCCUUAGGGUUGUAAAGUACUUUCAUCGGGGAGGAAAAAACAAAACUAAUAAUUUUAUUUCUUGACGUUACCCGAAAAAGAAGCACCGGCUAACUCCGUGCCAGCAGCCGCGGUAAUACGGAGGGUGCUAGCGUUAAUCAGAAUUACUGGGCGUAAAGAGCACGUAGGUGGUUUUUUUAAAGUCAGAUGUGAAAUCCCUGGGCUUAACCUGGAACUGCAUUUUGAAACUGAAAUACUAGAGUAUCGUAGAGGGAGGUAGAAUUCUAGGUGUAGCGGUGAAAUGCGUAGAUAUCUGGAGGAAUACCUGUGGCGAAAGCGGCCUCCUAAACGAAUACUGACACUGAGGGUGCGAAAGCGUGGGGAGCAAACAGGGAUUUAGAUACC